AUGCAUAGCAGAUCAGGAAUUUCCCUUAAAACCAUUUUCUCAUAUCAGGUUUGCAUUAGAACAGUCUCUGAUUCUGAUUUCAAUGAACUGAAGUUAUGUAAUAUGGUCAUUAUGUGAAAACAGGCUCUUGCUUCUUCCGUGCUUCCAUCAUCUCUCCACGCCAAGAAUAUACGUACCGCAUACUUCAAUUUCCUAUUCCUUCCAUCUUCGAUUCUUCAAUUCCGCUCUAAGAUCCACACAAAAUUCUACCCUAGUGUUUGGAAAAAGCAAGUGCUGAUGCAAAUUGUGUAG
Non-coding RNA from Vicia faba (fava bean), 291 nucleotides. The record is from the annotation of a GenBank genome assembly. NCBI's taxonomy places the organism in Eukaryota, Viridiplantae, Streptophyta, Magnoliopsida, Fabales, Fabaceae.